GUACGCUGGCGGCACGCCUAACACAUGCGAGUCGAGCGAGGUAGCAAUACCUAGCGGCAGACGGGUGCGUAACAUGUGGGAAUCUGCCUUUUGGUUCGGAAUAACACGGGGAAACCUGUGCUAAUACCGGAUAAGUCCUUACGGAGAAAGUUUUAAUGCCAAAAGAUGAGCCCGCAUUUGAUUAGUUUGUUGGUGAGGUAAUGGCUCACCAAGACUACAAUCAAUAGCUGAUUUGAGAGGAUGAUCAGCCACACUGGGACUGAGAUACGGCCCAGACUCCUACGGGAGGCAGCAGUGGGGAAUCUUGCACAAUGGGCGAAAGCCUGAUGCAGCGAUGCCGCGUGAGUGAAGAAGGCCCUUGGGUUGUAAAGCUCUUUUGUCGGGAAAGAUAAUGACUGUACCCGAAGAAUAAGGUCCGGCUAACUUCGUGCCAGCAGCCGCGGUAAUACGAAGGGACCUAGCGUAGUUCGGAAUUACUGGGCGUAAAGAGUAUGUAGGCGGCUAGAUAAGUUAAUUGUGAAAGCCCAAAGCUUAACUUUGGAAUUGCAAUUAAAACUAUUUAGCUAGAGUAUGAUAGAGGAAAGCGGAAUACAUA
RNAcentral lists this ribosomal RNA (595 nucleotides) under uncultured Pseudomonadota bacterium. RNAcentral describes it as "bacterial SSU rRNA". It matches the Rfam family "Bacterial small subunit ribosomal RNA", at positions 31 to 672 of the family's 1533-position model. Lineage: Bacteria; Pseudomonadati; Pseudomonadota. The record is from RNAcentral.